This 107-nucleotide ribosomal RNA is filed under the name Microcebus murinus (gray mouse lemur). The record is from RNAcentral. Lineage: Eukaryota; Metazoa; Chordata; Mammalia; Primates; Cheirogaleidae.
GUCUGCUGCCAUACCACCCUGAAUGGGACCCAUCUCAUCUGGCCUCAGAAGCUAAGCAGGUCAAGCCUGGUUAGUACUUGGAUGGGAGAAAGUUAGAAUUGCUCAUC